This is a non-coding RNA of Carassius gibelio (silver crucian carp), 809 nucleotides long. Lineage: Eukaryota; Metazoa; Chordata; Actinopteri; Cypriniformes; Cyprinidae. The record is from the annotation of a RefSeq genome assembly.
ACAGCAAUUAAAGCAGUCAGUGUCUUUGUAAGUUUGUUUCAUUUCUGAUGUUUGAUUUAAAUGUAUAUAGUGAUUGUGUAGUUUGUAUAUUGUGUAUAUAUCAGCUGCAGUGAUGUUGAAUAAGAUGAAUGAUGAGAUUGUUGUGAUUUUUACUGCAUCUCACACGUCUGCUGCUGAAAUCAUGUUGAAAUGGUGUGAAUGCUGCAGGGCAGAAGAGUGCUGGAGCUGCAGUGUGUUUUCUCUGUGUUUGUGAAUGUGUUGUGUUUGUCUCCUGCAGCUGGUCCCACAGUGAAGCCCUCAGUGUCUCUGCUGCCGCCGUCUUCUCUGCAGAUCUCUGGAGACUCAGCCGCACUGCUCUGUCUGCUCAGCUCUUACUCUCCACAGGGGGCGCUGGUGAGCUGGACACUGGACGGCUCAGAGGUCACCGAGGGGGUUGUGACCAGCGCAGAGAGCGAGCAGGACGGCCGCUACAGCCGCAGUAGUGUCCUGACCCUCAGCAAAGCACGCUGGGAAGAGGGAGAGCUGUACGUCUGCAGAGUAACACAUGAUGGAGCUCCUCAUGAAGCCUCGUUCCACAAGAGUCGCUGUUAGUCACUCGCAGAGCUGAUGUUUCUCCAGUGAGCGCUGCUCUCUCCUGAAGAUGAACGUAUCUGAGUGUCCUGUGUCGGGCAGAAUUCACAUGAGUCUAGUGCUGCAGCUGUAGUCAUUUACAAAUCAAUACUGAAAGAGAGCUCUAGUGUCAAAGCACUGACUGAUCUUUCAAUCUGCUGUGUUUGCUGCAACAUUCAAUAAAGCUUCUCAACAAACUC